Molecule: long non-coding RNA, 269 nt
Filed under: Trifolium pratense (red clover)
Lineage: Eukaryota; Viridiplantae; Streptophyta; Magnoliopsida; Fabales; Fabaceae
Description: long non-coding RNA (TPRA_LNC000366)
Source: RNAcentral
AUGAAUUAAUUAAUUAGUUAGCUACAAGACAAUGAAUUCACGUUUGGCUAGCUAGUGAAGUGAAUCAAUUAUAUCCCUAUAUUGCUUAAUUGCUUAUUCACUCAUCAAGAUGUUUUUUUCUCCAGCUGGAUCAAUUGGCAUUAUGUAGGCUUGUAUAGUUGCAUAUUUUUAUUUUAGCUGAUAUAGGGAUAAGCUUAAGCAUCUAUAUAUGCUCAUGAUGGAUUGAUUCAAGAUCAUCAUCAUCAUGGUCCUUAUUUGUCCACAUUUAU